Long non-coding RNA from Cucumis melo (muskmelon), 2545 nucleotides. RefSeq lists it as uncharacterized. Lineage: Eukaryota; Viridiplantae; Streptophyta; Magnoliopsida; Cucurbitales; Cucurbitaceae. The transcript has 2 exons. The record is from RefSeq and is a predicted model, not a curated record.
UAUUUUUAUUUUAAGUUUUGCCUUCGUAAGAGAGUUUCCCACCAGCUCCUUUCUUGUAAGGUCUCACAUAUUUAUCUAAUUUCUUAUUGGUCUAUGAAAGAAAUUACCUCGAAUAAUUUGGCAAAAGAGUUUCGUAAGAGGAAGCGUUUGAAAAAUUGUAGGUUCCAUAACUUCAUAUUGCUGGGAGUAUGUUGUAUUAAUAAUCAGACCUGGUAACAAUGACUAGGUAAGAGUCAAAAUUGUGCUGUUUUAAGGGCCUUACAGAGCUUUCACUUCAAUUUCUGUUACCAUUUAAUGCUAUCUGUUCAGAUUGAAGAGUAUUUUUAAUCAUUAUUUUAAGCUAUAUUGGAUGUUUGGUUUUUCCUCUUUUGAUAUUGCUUGUUGCAUUGGAUCCUAUCGACAAAAUAACAAUUCGAAAUAAUCCUAUACGUGGCUUUCAGGCAUCAGGUUCCAGUCUCUCUUUCUUGAACACAAAAAUUGAUUUUAACGUAAGAUUCUGAAAAUUAGUGGUUCAAACUUGAAAGGCCCGUUGUUCUCCUCUUGUACUCUAUCUUCACGUUCAGCUGUGCCUAUUGAAAAUGAUGUGCUUUCUUUUUCUGAAAGUUACUCAUCUCCUUAUUUUAUGCAUUGUUUGAGCAAUAAUAGAUAGAUAGAUUGAUAGAAGAGAUUGAACUUAGAUUCAUACUGUUGUGUAUACUCCUCUGACUCAAGUGGGUUGGAUUAUUUUAUCUAUUACAUGUUUUAGAGCCUUUAUUACCAAUGUAUGUUUCUCUAAGGUCUUAUGAUUGUAGCUAAUCAUCUCGACUCUCAAGACACUUGCUGGUAACUGCGAUAUUUUGAUUUAGUUUAGUGGUAUUUAUUGAUAGUAAACUUAUAGUGAUUUCCGAUUAGAUCCUUUAGGGAAUCCAUAUUCUUCUGUUUGGUGCUUUCAACUUCAGUACUGGAUUGUUUGAUUUGUUGGAACUUCGACAGAAACGCUUUUCUUCUCUUUAUAAUUGUUCUUUGUUAGCACUACCGAUUCCUAUCGGAGUGUUAUCAUCCUCUGAAACAUAUUUUUCUUUUUGGAGAAACUCAAUGUCAAGAACAAUUCUUUAUUGAUAAUACCCCUGAGGUUACAGACCAAAAGCAUGUAGAAUAAUGCCCCAAAUAUAUGGCCAAAAAUAAACAAAAAAAUAGCGCCAGUACAAUGACAAUAACACAUACAUACAAAACAUCAAAAACCAAUCAUACUGAUCAAUGAGAAAGCAGGAAGAUCUUGUAUCUAAUGCCAGAGAAGCGCAACGAGGUAGAUGAACAUUGAUAGGAGAAUUCCACCAUUCGAAAAUGUCACCUGAAAUCCAGUCCCAGCAUCCAUAGCAGGUAAUGGUGCAAGUCCUGCACCGUCUUGAGCUCUGGCCACUGCGAGCAGGAGCACCAGAGUCACCACAAACAGCCACAUCGCCCUGUGGAUGCUGAAUCCUGCCAUUAAUGUCUGCACAGAAAACUCGAAUUGAAGAUGGCUUACAGCUCCAUUUGAAGAUGACAUGUCAGCUGACAUUGCUGCUCACAGGGCCCUAUAAUGUCUCUCCCACAGCUAACUUGAGUAAUUUUGUGGUAUCAGGUAAGCAUUUUUGUGUUUCUUGUGUUUUGCUUCUCAUUUAAUGCCACUCUACCUUAGUACUACUUUCCUUUUAAUUGAACUUUACUUAAUAAUGGCCAGUGGACUUUGUAUUCAUCUUUUUGAUUUUAUUACUUUAGAUAUUAUUGAAUGUAAAUAGAAUCUUUUUGUACCCUGUUUUUUGGUUUGCGGCUUCAGUAUAGUUAUUACUAGAUUUUGAAGUUGCUGAAAAUGCAAAGCUUAAUCUCAAUCCACUCCACUAGUGUAAAUAGAACCUUGCGUUGAGUCAAAUAGGUAUGUGAAACAGAUUUGAAGGGCAAAUUGUAAUUUCCAUUCACUUGUCAUUGUUUUCAAACACAUUCAUCUUUCCCACCAUUUUCACGCUUCACAGUGUCAUUCUAAUACCAAUUUUAACAUUUCAUCGUAACCUUUAUUCCCUUCUAGUCUCUUAAACAAACCAUUAAAAUUCAUCAAGGUUUAGUUCAAAACUCUACUUUUCAUAUAUUUGGUAGUGCAUUAAUUUGACCAUCGCAGAUGCCUGUGUGUAUUCAGGCUACACUUAACUUUGUUCACCCAAGUGAGUUACAUGUUUGACACGUGACAAAUUUUUCGUUUUAAUUUCUUUUAAUAGAUUCUCUCUUUGUUAUUGAGGGGAUGCCUGAAGAGUUGUACAAAACUAUUGCUCUUUGGUUUGAAUCUUUUCGUUUUAGUAUUUGAGGUUUUAAAAGUUUAGAAGAUGUAAAAUGAAUCAUUAUGGUAUGUGGUUAUUAUAGAUUAUUAUCAAUUUUGUGUUAUAAUAAUAUGUAUUUGAGGUUAAUAGUGUUAUAGUCUUGUCUUAUUAUAGGUUGUGAGGUGCAGAAUUAUAGUUUGAGUUAUGAUAAUAUGUUUUUUAGUGUAGAUUAUUAUAGUCUAAAUUAUAGUCUUCAAUAAAAUAAAUAUUGGUUAUCU